This 327-nucleotide ribosomal RNA is filed under the name Burkholderia sp. EJP 95. RNAcentral describes it as "partial 16S ribosomal RNA". The record is from RNAcentral. Lineage: Bacteria; Pseudomonadati; Pseudomonadota; Betaproteobacteria; Burkholderiales; Burkholderiaceae.
GGGAACGUAUUCACCGCGGCAUGCUGAUCCGCGAUUACUAGCGAUUCCAGCUUCACGCACUCGAGUUGCAGAGUGCGAUCCGGACUACGAUCGGUUUUCUGGGAUUGGCUCCCCCUCGCGGGUUGGCGACCCUCUGUUCCGACCAUUGUAUGACGUGUGAAGCCCUACCCAUAAGGGCCAUGAGGACUUGACGUCAUCCCCACCUUCCUCCGGUUUGUCACCGGCAGUCUCCCUAGAGUGCUCUUGCGUAGCAACUAGGGACAAGGGUUGCGCUCGUUGCGGGACUUAACCCAACAUCUCACGACACGAGCUGACGACAGCCAUGCA